AAACUUAAUUAAUAAAUUAAAACUUUUAACAACGGAUCUCUUGGUUCUGGCAUCG
Molecule: ribosomal RNA, 55 nt
Filed under: Cladosporium cladosporioides
Lineage: Eukaryota; Fungi; Ascomycota; Dothideomycetes; Cladosporiales; Cladosporiaceae
Description: 5.8S ribosomal RNA
Source: RNAcentral